This 75-nucleotide transfer RNA is filed under the name Alphaproteobacteria bacterium. Its description in RNAcentral is "tRNA-Gly". It matches the Rfam family "tRNA". From Rfam's summary of the family: Transfer RNA (tRNA) molecules are approximately 80 nucleotides in length. Lineage: Bacteria; Pseudomonadati; Pseudomonadota; Alphaproteobacteria. The record is from RNAcentral. RNAcentral also lists the same sequence under 2 other names.
GCGGGAAUAGCUCAGUGGUAGAGCACAACCUUGCCAUGGUUGGGGUCGAGGGUUCGAAUCCCUUUUCCCGCUCCA